RNAcentral lists this ribosomal RNA (397 nucleotides) under uncultured bacterium. Its description in RNAcentral is "partial 16S ribosomal RNA". It matches the Rfam family "Bacterial small subunit ribosomal RNA", at positions 354 to 767 of the family's 1533-position model. The record is from RNAcentral.
UGGGGGAAUAUUGGACAAUGGGGGGCAACCCUGAUCCAGCAAUGCCGCGUGUGUGAAGAAGGUUUUCGGAUUGUAAAGCACUUUCGGCGGGGACGAUGAUGACGGUACCCGCAGAAGAAGCCCCGGCUAACUUCGUGCCAGCAGCCGCGGUAAUACGAAGGGGGCUAGCGUUGCUCGGAAUGACUGGGCGUAAAGGGCGUGUAGGCGGUUUGUACAGUCAGAUGUGAAAUCCCCGGGCUUAACCUGGGAGCUGCAUUUGAUACGUGCAGACUAGAGUGUGAGAGAGGGUUGUGGAAUUCCCAGUGUAGAGGUGAAAUUCGUAGAUAUUGGGAAGAACACCGGUGGCGAAGGCGGCAACCUGGCUCAUGACUGACGCUGAGGCGCGAAAGCGUGGGGG